CCCUUAGACGUUCUGGGCCGCACGCGCGCUACACUGACCAGUGCAACAAGCAUCCGUCCUUGGCCGACAGGCCCGGGCAAUCUUUGAACGCUGGUCGUGAUGGGGAUAGACUUUUGCAAUUUUUGGUCUUCAACGAGGAAUUCCUAGUAAACGCAAGUCAUCAACUUGCAUUGAUUACGUCCCUGCCCUUUGUACACACCGCCCGUCGCACCUACCGAUUGAAUGGUCCGGUGAAGCCUCCGGAUUGUCGCGCACCUCGGUGCCGCCGAGAAGUUGGCUAAACCUUACCAUUUAGAGGAAGGUGAAGUCGUAACA
This 315-nucleotide ribosomal RNA is filed under the name uncultured eukaryote. RNAcentral's name for it is "partial 18S ribosomal RNA". It matches the Rfam family "Eukaryotic small subunit ribosomal RNA", at positions 1470 to 1796 of the family's 1831-position model. The record is from RNAcentral.